UAGACGGGAGGAGUAGGGAAGGAUAAUAAAUUGUCUAUCUAUGGCCCUUCUCUACUCUUCCCGUCUAAACUUUAAACU
Non-coding RNA from Cinara cedri, 78 nucleotides. The record is from the annotation of a GenBank genome assembly. Lineage: Eukaryota; Metazoa; Arthropoda; Insecta; Hemiptera; Aphididae.